GCCGAGCAUGGUGGGGCACCUGUAUUCCCCAGCUGCUUGGGAGAUGAGGUGGGAGGAUCGCUUGAGUCCAGCAGUUCUGGGCUGCAGUGGGCUAUGCUGAUCGGGUGUCCCCACUAAGUUCCGCAUCAAUAUGGUGACCACUCGGGAGCACGAGACCACCAGGUUGCCUAAGGAGGGGUGAACCGGGCGCAAGUCCUAAACGGAGCAGUCCAAACUCCCAUGCUGAUCAGUAGUGGGAUCGCGCCUGUGAACAGCAACUGCACUCCAGCCUGGGCAAUAUAGUGAGACCCUGUCUCUU
This is a non-coding RNA of Cavia porcellus (domestic guinea pig), 298 nucleotides long. It matches the Rfam family "Metazoan signal recognition particle RNA". Rfam says of the family: The signal recognition particle (SRP) is a universally conserved ribonucleoprotein. It is involved in the co-translational targeting of proteins to membranes. The eukaryotic SRP consists of a 300-nucleotide 7S RNA and six proteins: SRPs 72, 68, 54, 19, 14, and 9. Lineage: Eukaryota; Metazoa; Chordata; Mammalia; Rodentia; Caviidae. The record is from Rfam.